GCAACACCUGAGGUACCAGCUGCUCUACUUCUUCAUUAAUUACUCCUUGUUUGGGAAGAUUCUCACACAAAAUCAUUUUGGAGCCCACGGUCCGACCAGUUUCAAGUGACUGAGAUUGCCAUGCACUGAUACUCUUGAAGCUAUUUUCCAGUCGGAUGAACCAAGACUAGUUACCAUAACAACUGUGGUUAUUACCACUGAGGUUAUACAUGUAUUGAGAGAAGACUUCUGCUUAUCCCCCAAAGUCCUCUGGCUAGCCUCUGGACACAGAGGAUGUCUCGUUGACUUCUUCGUCAAGCUACGUCCUGGGAACUGCGGUUAAGCACUGCGGGUGCAACAGACAAUAAGGCAUCACCGCCCCCUCCCCGUGGAGUUUACUCUCUAAUGCCAAAGCCAGCUGCCUCCUUCUACUUCACGUUCAGGGCCGUAACACCGUGCUGCACAGCUGAGCUCCGAUCCACGGUG
Molecule: long non-coding RNA, 465 nt
Organism: Globicephala melas (long-finned pilot whale)
Lineage: Eukaryota; Metazoa; Chordata; Mammalia; Artiodactyla; Delphinidae
Source: RefSeq, a predicted model, not a curated record